Molecule: ribosomal RNA, 253 nt
Filed under: uncultured bacterium
Lineage: Bacteria
Description: partial 16S ribosomal RNA
Rfam family: Bacterial small subunit ribosomal RNA
Source: RNAcentral
GACAGAGGUGCCGAGCGUUAUGCGGAAUCACUGGGCUUAAAGCGUGUGUAGGCGGAUGCCUAAGUACCUUGUGAAAUCCCACGGCUCACCCGUGGAACGGCUGGGUAUACUGGGUGUCUUGAGCCACUUAGGGGCUGCCGGAACAAAUGGUGGAGCGGUGAAAUGCGUAGAUAUCAUUUGGAACGCCAAUGGUGAAAACAGGCAGCUGGGAGUGUGCUGACGCUGAGACACGAAAGCCAGGGGAGCGAACGGG